Molecule: ribosomal RNA, 116 nt
Filed under: uncultured bacterium
Lineage: Bacteria
Description: partial 16S ribosomal RNA
Rfam family: Bacterial small subunit ribosomal RNA
Source: RNAcentral
UACGUUCCCGGUCUUGUACACACCGCCCGUCACACCACGAAAGUCGGCAACACCCGAAGCCGGUGGCCUAACCCUUGUGGAAGGAGCCGUCGAAGGUGGGGUCGGUGAUUGGGGUG